AUUGAAUAGUCGCGUAUGGCAAAACCGAAAGGUUGCGUAUGAGGAAAGUCCGGGCUCCAUAAGAGCAAUGAUGCUGGAUAACAUCCAGUGAAGGUAACUUCAAGGAAAGUGCAACAGAAAAUAACCGCCUUUUUUAGGUAAGGGUGAAAAGGUAAGGUAAGAGCUUACCGCAGAUAUGGUGACAUAUCUGGUCAGUGUAAACCCCAUCUGGAGCAACACCUUGUAAUUCCAAGAAGGUUAAGAUGCUCUUUCGUCUUCUUGGUUCUGGUGGCUUAAGUCUUAUAGUAAUAUAAGGAAUAGAUAAAUGACUAUUCACGACAGAACCCGGCUUAUAGAUUUACUUU
This 344-nucleotide RNase P RNA is filed under the name chicken gut metagenome. RNAcentral describes it as "Bacterial RNase P class A". It matches the Rfam family "Bacterial RNase P class A". Rfam says of the family: Ribonuclease P (RNase P) is a ubiquitous endoribonuclease, found in archaea, bacteria and eukarya as well as chloroplasts and mitochondria. Its best characterised activity is the generation of mature 5'-ends of tRNAs by cleaving the 5'-leader elements of precursor-tRNAs. Cellular RNase Ps are ribonucleoproteins. The record is from RNAcentral.